UUUAGAGUUUGAUCCCAUGGCUCAGAUUGAACGCUGGCGGCAGGCUUAACACAUGCAAGUCGAGCGGUAACAGGUCCUUCGGGAUGCUGACGAGCGGCGGACGGGUGAGUAAUGCAUAGGAAACUGCCCAGUAGUGGGGGAUAGCCCGGGGAAACCCGGAUUAAUACCGCGUACGCCCUUCGGGGGAAAGCAGGGGCUCUUCGGACCUUGCGCUAUUGGAUGUGCCUAUGUCGGAUUAGCUAGUUGGUGGGGUAAGAGCCUACCAAGGCGACGAUCCGUAGCUGGUCUGAGAGGAUGAUCAGCCACAUCGGGACUGAGACACGGCCCGAACUCCUACGGGAGGCAGCAGUGGGGAAUAUUGGACAAUGGGGGCAACCCUGAUCCAGCCAUGCCGCGUGUGUGAAGAAGGCUUUCGGGUUGUAAAGCACUUUCAGCGAGGAGGAAAAGUUGGUCACUAAUAUUGGCCAGCCUUGACGUACUCGCAGAAGAAGCACCGGCAA
Molecule: ribosomal RNA, 500 nt
Filed under: Marinobacter sp. V3H-008
Lineage: Bacteria; Pseudomonadati; Pseudomonadota; Gammaproteobacteria; Pseudomonadales; Marinobacteraceae
Description: bacterial SSU rRNA
Rfam family: Bacterial small subunit ribosomal RNA
Source: RNAcentral